RNAcentral lists this long non-coding RNA (2795 nucleotides) under Bemisia tabaci. Its description in RNAcentral is "lncRNA ENSSSA1UGG003106". Lineage: Eukaryota; Metazoa; Arthropoda; Insecta; Hemiptera; Aleyrodidae. The record is from RNAcentral.
UCUACUUUCAAUAAAUUUUCUAUCUUUUUUCCGAAUGGAAAGUUGACAGAAAGUAGACCUAUGAAAUAGAUCUAUUUUCUUUGGUCAGACUUUUGAUUCGCAAUGUUUUUUCUUUCUAUUUUCUAGAUAACUCUCAUUUUCUUGGUAUUUUUUGGAAGUUUUCUUAAUAUUUUUUUUCUAGAAAAAAAUUCUAUUUUGCUACUUGGGUAUACGGCUCUCUUCGCUAUCACGGCAAAGUUCAACCUCUAAAAGUCGUCGUCAAUUUGUCUUUAAAACUGCAAAAAGCCACAUCGCACCUACCAAUAAGGGUGAUCAGGGGUGAGCCAACGGCGGCGGUUGAGGGACGGCGGGUUGACGGUUGGCAUGCGUCGAGACGCCCUGGCCGCCGACCACGGCGCCGCGACGCCCCUAAAGCUUCAGUGUCGACGCGACUUCGCGCAAAGCUUAGCGUGGGAUCUCUGUCUCUCGUCCCUUUCUCGCGACGCGUAAAUUCUCUCGUGGUUCUCGAAAAUUCCGCAAAAAUUAGAGUGAAUUCGCACAAAUUUCACGCAAAUUUGGGAAUUAUUGGAGCUGCCCAGAGUUGUCUUACUACAAGUGAAUUAGUUGUGUAAUUUGUGAUUUUACAAUUUGAAAUUACCUAAAAGCUGCCAAAUUUGCCCAAAAUACAAACAUUUAUGAGCCCCUCAUAAGUGCACACGCCUGUUUUCUAUUUGAAAAUCAUUAUUGACGUGAAGGUUUUCAAAUAUUAAUUGAACGUGACCUAGAGUGCAAUAAUUAGUCAAGUGUUGAAUCAGCAAGGCGUGAUCCGAAUAUAGCUCACAAUCGUGAAAGGUAAGAUUUCAAUCCAUUUUUUCAUUGUGCUUUCUGUUCCGAAUUUUUCUGCAAGGGGUGCAAAAUUAUAAGUUCGUGUUGCUUUCUCUUCGAGUUUUAAAUUAAAAUCAGUGGAAUAGAUAAAUUAACGGGUUAUUUUUUUAUAAUGGCAAGUAUGGUUACAUAUUAAUCACGAUUAACGAUUGACAGCAAUGAGAGAAUACACACACAAUUUUUUCAUUAAUGUUUUUUCUUUAAUUCCUUUUUCAUCUGUGAGAAAAUAAUUGACGACCACGAAAACUUACGGUACAGCUGACAACUUCCUUACGUGAUAUAUGAAGUUGAGGGUGCUCGAGAUCUGGUGGCCCUGAGAAGGGCCGUUUUAGAAGUGAUGAGCUGGAGCAGGAUCGAAGCUGUGCUGAAUCGAGCAGGAACGCAGGAGCAGUGCUGGAGCGUGUGGCCGCGUGACAGUGUCGAACUACGGUGAGCUCUGGAGGCGGAAGUCCGCCGCUAUAUAGCGCCGUGCGCUAUGAGCGGGAGCCAAUGAGAGGCCAGAGCGGUGAGCGCGGCAGUGCGAGGCGCUGAUUGGCCGAGCAAGGUGGCAGGAAAGCUCGGUGAGCUUGUGUCGCCACAGCAGCCCCCUGGGAAGUGACGGAGUCACGUCUCUGGUCGAAGAGCUAGGACUAGAGAAUGGGCUGAAACAAAGUGAGAGAAACAUUGGCUUGUUAGAAAAUCACUUCCCCACAAGUGUGGAGGGUGGAAAGCGGAAUUGGACGCGUCGUCCAGAACGUGUCUUGUAGGAUUCUUCGUUUGCUGGUUUGGGCGUCUCAACUACAGGUUUCGGUGUCUUAACUUCUGCUUUGCUGGGCGCGGUGGGUUUUUGCGGUGCAGCCGGGCCUGGAAGUGCUUGCAGAACUGGAGUCUUGACGGCCGGGAGUUGUUCGUUGGCCAUGAGAUAAGCCGGUUUGACCCUGUCUAUGGAGACACGUGAUUCCUUUCCCUUAAUCAGCAGAGUGACCGUUUUCUCGUCACGACGGAUGACGGGGUGUGGUCCUGAGAAAGGAGGUUGGAGGGAGCGCCGGACCGUGUCAUCUCGCAGGAAAACAUGUUCGCAAGUUGCGAGGUCUUUGAAGAUGAAGGUGUUGGGCUGACAAUGGCGUGACGCAGGAGUGGGUCGUAGAGUGGCCAUUUGUUUGCGAAGUCGGUUGACAAAAUCAGAAGGUUCUUCUUGGUCACUAGCGGUGCUGGGAGCUAGGAGUUCGCCGGGUAGUCGGAGAGGUUCUCCGUAGAGUAACUCGGCUGGUGAGGCUUUGAUGUCCUCUUUGAAACUGGAACGGAUUCCAAGGAGUACUAUGGGUAGAGCUUCAACCCAAGUUGUAUCAGGGUGACACAUAAGUGCUGCUUUCAGGUGCCGGUGUAAGCGUUCGAUCAUGCCGUUGGCGAUGGGAUGAUACGCUGUUGUUCUGGGCCUUUCUGUACCCAAGGUUUUGCCAAGUGAGCGGUAGAGUUGAGACUCAAAUUGGCGACCUUGGUCGGUUGUGAUGCGGACAGGUGAGCCAAAUCGGGAGAUCCAGCAGUUGAGGAGUCCAUCUGCAACUUCGUCAGCGGUGAUACCUUGGAGGGGCCAAACUUCUGGCCAGCGGGUAAAGCGGUCUACUGCAGUGAGGCAGUAACGGUAACCUUUGGAGUAAGGCAGAGGGCCGAUCAGGUCUAUGUGCACAUGUUGAAAGCGAUUUGAAACAGGUGGAAAAGUUCCAAAAGGGUUUGAACAUGGCGUGAGACUUUGGCACGUUGGCAGGCUGCGCAGGAUCGGGCCCAGGUGCGGCAAUCUUUCCGCGCGUUAGGCCAGACAAAACGGGAAGACACAAGUUGUGCUGUAGCCUUGAUACCAGGAUGACUGAGUCCGUGAAUCGAGUCAAAGAUUUGGCGCCGGAGUCCAGCGGGCACGUAAGGUCGUGGCUUGGGUGUGCUUGUAUCACAGUACA